Molecule: ribosomal RNA, 2905 nt
Filed under: Salmonella enterica
Lineage: Bacteria; Pseudomonadati; Pseudomonadota; Gammaproteobacteria; Enterobacterales; Enterobacteriaceae
Also listed under: 1 other name
Description: 23S ribosomal RNA
Rfam family: Bacterial large subunit ribosomal RNA
Source: RNAcentral
GGUUAAGCGACUAAGCGUACACGGUGGAUGCCCUGGCAGUCAGAGGCGAUGAAGGGCGUGCUAAUCUGCGAUAAGCGCCGGUAAGGUGAUAUGAACCGUUAUAACCGGCGAUACCCGAAUGGGGAAACCCAGUGUGAUUCGUCACACUAUCAUUAACUGAAUCCAUAGGUUAAUGAGGCGAACCGGGGGAACUGAAACAUCUAAGUACCCCGAGGAAAAGAAAUCAACCGAGAUUCCCCCAGUAGCGGCGAGCGAACGGGGAGGAGCCCAGAGCCUGAAUCAGCAUGUGUGUUAGUGGAAGCGUCUGGAAAGGCGCGCGAUACAGGGUGACAGCCCCGUACACAAAAGCGCAUGUGCUGUGAGCUCGAUGAGUAGGGCGGGACACGUGGUAUCCUGUCUGAAUAUGGGGGGACCAUCCUCCAAGGCUAAAUACUCCUGACUGACCGAUAGUGAACCAGUACCGUGAGGGAAAGGCGAAAAGAACCCCGGCGAGGGGAGUGAAAAAGAACCUGAAACCGUGUACGUACAAGCAGUGGGAGCACCCUUCGGGGUGUGACUGCGUACCUUUUGUAUAAUGGGUCAGCGACUUAUAUUCUGUAGCAAGGUUAACCGAAUAGGGGAGCCGGAGGGAAACCGAGUCUUAAUUGGGCGUUAAGUUGCAGGGUAUAGACCCGAAACCCGGUGAUCUAGCCAUGGGCAGGUUGAAGGUUGGGUAACACUAACUGGAGGACCGAACCGACUAAUGUUGAAAAAUUAGCGGAUGACCUGUGGCUGGGGGUGAAAGGCCAAUCAAACCGGGAGAUAGCUGGUUCUCCCCGAAAGCUAUUUAGGUAGCGCCUCGUGAAUUCAUCUCCGGGGGUAGAGCACUGUUUCGGCUAGGGGGCCAUCCCGGCUUACCAACCCGAUGCAAACUGCGAAUACCGGAGAAUGUUAUCACGGGAGACACACGGCGGGUGCUAACGUCCGUCGUGAAGAGGGAAACAACCCAGACCGCCAGCUAAGGUCCCAAAGUCAUGGUUAAGUGGGAAACGAUGUGGGAAGGCCCAGACAGCCAGGAUGUUGGCUUAGAAGCAGCCAUCAUUUAAAGAAAGCGUAAUAGCUCACUGGUCGAGUCGGCCUGCGCGGAAGAUGUAACGGGGCUAAACCAUGCACCGAAGCUGCGGCAGCGACACUGUGUGUUGUUGGGUAGGGGAGCGUUCUGUAAGCCUGCGAAGGUGGCCUGUGAGGGUUGCUGGAGGUAUCAGAAGUGCGAAUGCUGACAUAAGUAACGAUAAAGCGGGUGAAAAGCCCGCUCGCCGGAAGACCAAGGGUUCCUGUCCAACGUUAAUCGGGGCAGGGUGAGUCGACCCCUAAGGCGAGGCCGAAAGGCGUAGUCGAUGGGAAACGGGUUAAUAUUCCCGUACUUGGUGUUACUGCGAAGGGGGGACGGAGAAGGCUAUGUUGGCCGGGCGACGGUUGUCCCGGUUUAAGCGUGUAGGUGUGUGUUCCAGGUAAAUCCGGUUCACUUUAACACUGAGGCGUGACGACGAGGCACUACGGUGCUGAAGCAACAAAUGCCCUGCUUCCAGGAAAAGCCUCUAAGCAUCAGGUAACAUCAAAUCGUACCCCAAACCGACACAGGUGGUCAGGUAGAGAAUACCAAGGCGCUUGAGAGAACUCGGGUGAAGGAACUAGGCAAAAUGGUGCCGUAACUUCGGGAGAAGGCACGCUGACAUGUAGGUGAAGUGAUUUACUCAUGGAGCUGAAGUCAGUCGAAGAUACCAGCUGGCUGCAACUGUUUAUUAAAAACACAGCACUGUGCAAACACGAAAGUGGACGUAUACGGUGUGACGCCUGCCCGGUGCCGGAAGGUUAAUUGAUGGGGUCAGCGCAAGCGAAGCUCCUGAUCGAAGCCCCGGUAAACGGCGGCCGUAACUAUAACGGUCCUAAGGUAGCGAAAUUCCUUGUCGGGUAAGUUCCGACCUGCACGAAUGGCGUAAUGAUGGCCAGGCUGUCUCCACCCGAGACUCAGUGAAAUUGAACUCGCUGUGAAGAUGCAGUGUACCCGCGGCAAGACGGAAAGACCCCGUGAACCUUUACUAUAGCUUGACACUGAACAUUGAGCCUUGAUGUGUAGGAUAGGUGGGAGGCUUUGAAGUGUGGACGCCAGUCUGCAUGGAGCCGACCUUGAAAUACCACCCUUUAAUGUUUGAUGUUCUAACGUGGACCCGUAAUCCGGGUUGCGGACAGUGUCUGGUGGGUAGUUUGACUGGGGCGGUCUCCUCCUAAAGAGUAACGGAGGAGCACGAAGGUUGGCUAAUCCUGGUCGGACAUCAGGAGGUUAGUGCAAUGGCAUAAGCCAGCUUGACUGCGAGCGUGACGGCGCGAGCAGGUGCGAAAGCAGGUCAUAGUGAUCCGGUGGUUCUGAAUGGAAGGGCCAUCGCUCAACGGAUAAAAGGUACUCCGGGGAUAACAGGCUGAUACCGCCCAAGAGUUCAUAUCGACGGCGGUGUUUGGCACCUCGAUGUCGGCUCAUCACAUCCUGGGGCUGAAGUAGGUCCCAAGGGUAUGGCUGUUCGCCAUUUAAAGUGGUACGCGAGCUGGGUUUAGAACGUCGUGAGACAGUUCGGUCCCUAUCUGCCGUGGGCGCUGGAGAACUGAGGGGGGCUGCUCCUAGUACGAGAGGACCGGAGUGGACGCAUCACUGGUGUUCGGGUUGUCAUGCCAAUGGCACUGCCCGGUAGCUAAAUGCGGAAGAGAUAAGUGCUGAAAGCAUCUAAGCACGAAACUUGCCCCGAGAUGAGUUCUCCCUGAGACUUAAAGUCUCCUGAAGGAACGUUGAAGACGACGACGUUGAUAGGCCGGGUGUGUAAGCGCAGCGAUGCGUUGAGCUAACCGGUACUAAUGAACCGUGAGGCUUAACCUU